Long non-coding RNA from Puntigrus tetrazona (Sumatra barb), 1470 nucleotides. RefSeq lists it as uncharacterized. NCBI's taxonomy places the organism in Eukaryota, Metazoa, Chordata, Actinopteri, Cypriniformes, Cyprinidae. The record is from RefSeq and is a predicted model, not a curated record. The transcript is spliced from 3 exons.
GGAAGACGAGGCAGCAGGAGCAGAGAAGAUAGUGUCGGAGAAUACAAAAACAAAAGGAAAAUAAAGAAAAGGGUUAAAGUGAAUGAGGAGAAGAAAUAGAGUUAGCAAAGACACAAAGCAGAAACAAAGCUUACGUUUUCAGCAUACACACAGAAGACGACAACAAGCACAAAAAAACAAAAAAACAAAAUAUCCCACUGCUCCGCUACACCUCCGGAUGCUAUUUUAAUUGAAGGGGAUUCGAUGGCUGUCAGAACAACUGCGAAAUCAAAAUUCUUUCCUUCUCACAGUCUUCUUUUAACUGUCCUUCAAGGCCAUGAACUGCUGUGCUUUCUUAAACAACAGAUCUGGGAGGACUCACGGAAGUGCAUAUCUUGUCAUAUCUUGUUUGAUGCUUGUCGAUAGCUAUAGUACAUCACUAACCCUGAAAAGGCAUAAAGACAUGAGCCUGUCAGACUGAGAGAAAGGUGAUCAAUGGUUUAGUUAUAGAGAGAGACAUUGGCACAUUGCCUUGCUGUUUUUGAAAAGAGAGUGACGCAAAAGGAGUUAAACAAUGAGUUUCGUUUUGUUAUUCAUGCUUUGAGAGAAUCACAGAGUCUCCUGAAGGCGAAGUUCAGGUGCAUGGUUGAUGACUAUGAAGAUGGAAGACUGAAAACAGAUAUUUAAAUCGUUACUACUGACUGACACCCUACCUAUCUGCCUGAGAUCAUACCGGUCUUCUUUCCUGCAUUUAUCUGUUUUACACACAGUAAUGAACGUACCAAAAAUGUAUCCACCAUGUUAUGUUAAACUAAUGAGAUUCUGUUGUUUAAAAGCCUAGAGUCUUGCCUGCUCUGUUUCAGGAGGACCCCGGUGGCCGUUUGAAGUUGAGCCCAUUACAACACCUAAGAUUAAGGCUGUAGGGAAGAUCAUCCCAUGCGGUGUUCACGUUGGAGGGACAGUUGAUCACAGAGGAGAGCGAGGACAUCUCAACAGCACUGGGACCCCUCCUGUGUUUAUGUUCUGAAAUGCAGUGUCCUAAAGCAGUGGUUCUCAACUCUACUCAUGAGCUCUAUGUGACUGACUGUGUCCCUACACAGAACAUUCAAUCACAAAUUUACACUACUUCCUGUCUUGGUAAGUCAACAUUGUCUAUUUCUGGCCCUCUAUCAGGUCUAGUUGUGGUUUCUAUCAUUUUUUUGUAAAUCCUGAUGGCCUUACAAAAAAUGCUAAUACGCUGUUGAAAGUAAAAGAAGGAAAGACACUGCCGUACUUUACAAGUGGUUGUGUGCUAUUCUUUUUCAGUAGUUUAACUCAAAAAGUAGUCAAAAUAGUUGAAACUUGAUUACAGUGCAUAAAAGAUUACAUAAUUCAAGCUUUUAUCAUUACUUUGUAAAACAACAAUUAAUCCUAAAAUUGUGAUGCUGUAUGUUUAUUCCCUGGCUUGUAGACACAUUUUAUCGGCAUCUGAAAUAAAUAAUUUAAAAGGUU